This 725-nucleotide long non-coding RNA is filed under the name Homo sapiens (human). RNAcentral's name for it is "HSALNT0345246". Lineage: Eukaryota; Metazoa; Chordata; Mammalia; Primates; Hominidae. The record is from RNAcentral.
GAAAUGCAAUGUGUGAGCCUGUCUCGAAUUGGAUCCUAGACCAGAAAAAGGACAUUUGAAGGGAAACUGGUGCAAUUUGAAAGGGACCUGCAGAUUAGACAAUAGAGUGCCUCAAGAGGGAAAGUUUCUUAUGGUCAUCUCACAACAAUCGUUGUCCCUCCAAUAGGGAAUUCCGCCAAAGUCUGCUCCGCAAAGCACGAGCAAAUGUUCAGGGUCUGGAGACAGUAGAUUGCUCCAGGAGAAAUAUGAAGGAGCCACCGUGAUUCCAUAUCUGCCUGGGAACUCUUUUAAGCUGCUGAGGUCAGAAGAGAUUUGCAAAGCCCUCCAAGAGACUUUACCGAAAGACAUCGUGUGCUGGGGGUUAAUGUUUUUCUUCAUUAGUUGUGUUUGUAGCUUCUUGAAAUUAUUGUAUAUGGACUGGCACCCGCCUCAGCCUCCAGUCAUCAGCACAACUGCAUCGGGGGAUGGCCUCCUGGCUUCAUCUAUCAAACAAGCCACUGUCUGCAGACGUUCUGGGAUUUGUUGUAUUUGGGGUUAAACGGGGGAGGAGGGAAAAUUAACGGGUUUCUAUAAAGAAUCACUUCUCUGGUUCUCGUUAAAGCUCUGAGGGUCACAGGAAAUCUCUGGUUUCAAACAACUGUAUGUGGCGUGAUCCUGUUUACUUGAAAUGUCUAGCUGAGACCUAGCUUUGCCACAUUAAUACUAAAUAAGUAAUAUCCACAGAA